AGUGAACGCUGGCGGCAGGCCUAACGCAUGCAAGUCGAACGGCAGCACAGUAAGAGCUUGCUCUUACGGGUGGCGAGUGGCGGACGGGUGAGGAAUACAUCGGAAUCUACUUUUUCGUGGGGGAUAACGUAGGGACACUUACGCUAAUACCGCAUACGACCUACGGGUGAAAGCAGGGGAUCUUGGGACCUUGCGCGAUUGAAUGAGCCGAUGUCGGAUUAGCUAGUUGGCGGGGUAAAGGCCCACCAAGGCGACGAUCCGUAGCUGGUCUGAGAGGAUGAUCAGCCACACUGGAACUGAGACACGGUCCAGACUCCUACGGGAGGCAGCAGUGGGGAAUAUUGGACAAUGGGCGCAAGCCUGAUCCAGCCAUACCGCGUGGGUGAAGAAGGCCUUCGGGUUGUAAAGCCCUUUUGUUGGGAAAGAAAAGCAGCAGGUUAAUACCCCGCUGUUCUGACGGUACCCAAAGAAUAAGCACCGGCUAACUUCGUG
RNAcentral lists this ribosomal RNA (492 nucleotides) under uncultured bacterium. RNAcentral's name for it is "partial 16S ribosomal RNA". It matches the Rfam family "Bacterial small subunit ribosomal RNA", at positions 29 to 507 of the family's 1533-position model. The record is from RNAcentral.